Molecule: ribosomal RNA, 460 nt
Filed under: uncultured bacterium
Lineage: Bacteria
Description: partial 16S ribosomal RNA
Rfam family: Bacterial small subunit ribosomal RNA
Source: RNAcentral
CCUACGGGCGGCUGCAGUGAGGAAUAUUGGUCAAUGGACGAGAGUCUGAACCAGCCAAGUAGCGUGAAGGAUGACUGCCCUAUGGGUUGUAAACUUCUUUUAUAUGGGAAUAAAAUGUUCCACGUGUGGGAUUUUGUAUGUACCAUAUGAAUAAGGAUAGGCUAACUCCGUGCCAGCAGCCGCGGUAAUACGGAGGAUCCGAGCGUUAUCCGGAUUUAUUGGGUUUAAAGGGAGCGUAGGUGGAUUGUUAAGUCAGUUGUGAAAGUUUGCGGCUCAACCGUAAAAGUGCAGUUGAAACUGGCAGUCUUGAGUACAGUAGAGGUGGGCGGAAUUCGUGGUGUAGCGGUGAAAUGCUUAGAUAUCACGAAGAACUCCGAUUGCGAAGGCAGUUCACUGGACUGCAACUGACACUGAGGCUCGAAAGUGUGGGUAUCAAACAGGAUUAGAUACCCCUGUAGUC